This 445-nucleotide ribosomal RNA is filed under the name uncultured bacterium. Its description in RNAcentral is "partial 16S ribosomal RNA". It matches the Rfam family "Bacterial small subunit ribosomal RNA", at positions 354 to 796 of the family's 1533-position model. The record is from RNAcentral.
GUGAGGAAUAUUGCGCAAUGGAGGCAACUCUGACGCAGCCAUGCCGCGUGCAGGAAGAAGGCGCUACGCGUUGUAAACUGCUUUUAACCGGGAAGAAACCCCAGGAUGUGUCCUGGGUUGACGGUACCGGAGGAAUAAGCACCGGCUAACUUCGUGCCAGCAGCCGCGGUAAUACGAAGGGUGCAAGCGUUAUCCGGAUUCAUUGGGUUUAAAGGGUGCGUAGGCGGAGCGUUAAGUCAGUGGUGAAAUCCUGCAGCUUAACUGUAGACUUGCCAUUGAUACUGGCGCUCUUGAGUGCGCUUGAAGUGGGCGGAAUGUGCCGUGUAGCGGUGAAAUGCUUAGAUAUGGCACAGAACACCAAUUGCGAAGGCAGCUCACUAAGGCGAUACUGACGCUGAGGCACGAAAGCGUGGGGAUCGAACAGGAUUAGAUACCCCUGUAGUCC